CCUAGGAGAGCGGGGAUCGCGUCCCGCGUGUGGCGUUUCCUCGCUCUGUUGUUUGUGUAAAGCCAACCCCGUUUUUCUUUUCCUAAACCCAACUGUCGCUUUCUUCUCGCAAUAACACGUUCUCGCGAUAACACGCCACGUGGCGUGUAUGUUUAUGUCCGCUGUAGACAUACACGCGGAUAGCUCAAAAUGUGUACAGAUAACACGCCACUUGGCUUAAGAAGGUCGGCGUGUAUGUUUACACGAAGUCAUGAUGUCAAAUUGUCACAAAAGUCACUUUGCGAUAUUACGGAAAUGAUGCGUGCCACUUUGUUAAGUAAGUAAAUCUCAGUUUUCUCUGAGCAAAUGUCAAACUCCUUUCAGGCCUGUUUAACAGAGCAGAUCAAUGAACUGGCUCAGAUGCGUCUUGUUAAAAUGAUAUUUUGUUGCACAUAUUUAAAAGCACAGGUGAUGGUAAUAUUUUUAACACCGAUUAGAAAGAAUGUUAACACUUUUCAAAACAUGUUACGACUCCUCUAAACCUGCCAUCUUGACUGCUUUAUUCCCACAAAAAAAAGGCAUCCGAGCUUUAAAAUGUCAGUUGUUGUUGACUUUAAAAAGUAAUUCAAAACGAAGCAAACCUUGUGGGUGUUAAAGGUGGAGUUGGGGAACUGACCUCUGACUGGUUUUAUUGGGUGUCUCCUGUAGGAAGAAGAGGAUCUGAAUGUGCUGAACUUGAUGCAGUACCGGCCGCCAUUGUGCCCUUUAACAGCACCAUUCUCUGCAGUUUAAAAAAAAAAAAGGAUAACAAUGGCUACACAUUACUUUUCAUUUCACCGCUCUACUGUAUGAGAUUUUUUUAAGCAUUGACUUUCAUAAACACUACACAAAGAAUAAAUGUUAUGUUGCAGCUGUGGCUGCUUUGACAAAGUGAAUCGAUUAUGAUUGUUUAGUAACGCUUGAAGGUAUCUACAUAAGAGUGACAUGACACUGUCAUGAACACGUGUUCAUGACAGGUAAAGUGUAACCUUGUUUUCUUACCGCCAACCGGAGGUUUGUGAAGAUGACUAAAUGGUGAUUUCAUUAUGAGUGUUCCUCUGAACUUACAUUUUAAGACUUGUUUAAGAGGUUUUAAAACAUGAAUAAAUCUAUGUUUAGACUGCUACAGUAGCUUCAUUCCCCCGGUGUGUGUGUGUUUUGAAUGCAUGUUAUCCUGUUCCCUCUGGGAUUUGUAUUCCAGAUAAAAGCUUUCACUAAGUUGCAGAUGUUAAAUUACAGGAGUGACUUUUUAGUUGAGAGGCACUCUUCGAAAUGGAAACAUCCCAUCCUACCCUGAGAGCAGAACCGUGAUGUGAAAUUACAUUUACUUUAGGAGCGCGAGGUCCCUGGUGGCUGCAUGAACUCUGAAAAAAUAAAGCAGGCAGCCGUCAGGAGGGCGACCCAUUCACACAUGUAGCAGGCGCCCUGUGGAACUCCAACACAGACAGCAUCCCAGUCAUACAUCAGCCGGACAGCUUAGACUUGAAAGGGGAGAGAGAGGGAGAACGACACGCAGCAAAGGGUCACGGGUCGGAAUUAAACCCACGACUGCUGCAGCGAGGACCGAGCAUUUGUACAUGGGGCGCACGCUCCACCAGGUGAGCUACCCAGGUGCCCCGGGAACAAAGUUUUUUUUAAUAAACGUAUUCAUUCCUGGGAUAGAAAACCUACAACCUCAGACAUUUUUAACUCUAGUCCUGAAAUCCAGACAGUUUGAGUUCAUAGACAGAAAUGGAAUUGCUGUAAUAACUAUUUUGAUAAUUGAUUAAAGUAAGUAAUUUAUCAUGUAAAGAAUACUAAACAGUCGCUCAUUCCAGCUUCUCGGGUUUUCUCGCGGUUCUCUGUUUCUAUAUGAUUUUAAAUUGAAUAUCUUUAGGUCUUGGACUGUUGGACAAAACAGGCAAUUAAAAGAAGCCCCAGUGGACUUUUUGAAAUGGUGAGGGCUAUUCUUUUACUAGCUGCAGGCCUGUCGCACACCAUUACAUUUCAUUUCAAACUCAAGGUGUUUUUUGAAGCAUGUCACAUUAUGGCUCAGCUCUUAGAAUAGGAUGUGAUGAUUCUGCAUUUCACAGUUCUAGUGUCGUAUUUUCCACCAACGUACAA
This is a long non-coding RNA of Sander lucioperca (pikeperch), 2121 nucleotides long. RefSeq lists it as uncharacterized. The record is from RefSeq and is a predicted model, not a curated record. The transcript has 2 exons. Lineage: Eukaryota; Metazoa; Chordata; Actinopteri; Perciformes; Percidae.